Bufo bufo (common toad) is the source of this 199-nucleotide long non-coding RNA. RefSeq lists it as uncharacterized. The record is from RefSeq and is a predicted model, not a curated record. The transcript is spliced from 3 exons. NCBI's taxonomy places the organism in Eukaryota, Metazoa, Chordata, Amphibia, Anura, Bufonidae.
CAGGAAGAGUACGAUAGGAGGAUAACAGGAAUUGAAACACAGAUAGAAGCGGACAGUUUAGAACAUGGAAUUCCCCUGGCAACCUCCACCCCAAGAUGUUUUUGUGGAUGGAUCAUGCACAAGACCAGAUGACAGGACAUACCAAACAGGUUACGCAGUGGUCAUGCUCCCAAAUCAAGUGAUAGAAGCUGAACCAAUU